Molecule: transfer RNA, 68 nt
Filed under: Chiropotes albinasus
Lineage: Eukaryota; Metazoa; Chordata; Mammalia; Primates; Pitheciidae
Description: tRNA-Pro
Source: RNAcentral
CAGGGAAUAGUUUAAAUUAGAAUUUCAGCUUUGGGUGUUGACGGUGGAAUGAAAUAUUUCUUCCUUGA